GAAUCUACGNCUCGUCGAUAUGCUCAGAUGGUGNAUUGAUCAUGGCUCAGAUUGACCGCUCGGUCGUGCACAGCCUAACACAUGCAAGUCGAACGGUAGCACAGAGAGCUUGCUCUCGGGUGACGAGUGGCGGACGGGUGAGUAAUGUCUGGGAAACUGCCUGAUGGAGGGGGAUAACUACUGGAAACGGUAGCUAAUACCGCAUAACGUCGCAAGACCAAAGAGGGGGACCUUCGGGCCUCUUGCCAUCAGAUGUGCCCAGAUGGGGUUAGCUAGUAGGUGGGGUAACGGCUCACCUAGGCGACGAUCCCUAGCUGGUCUGAGAGGAUGACCAGCCACACUGGAACUGAGACACGGUCCAGACUCCUACGGGAGGCAGCAGUGGGGAAUAUUGCACAAUGGGCGCAAGCCUGAUGCAGCCAUGCCGCGUGUAUGAAGAAGUGCCUUCGGGUUGUAAAGUACUUUCAGCGGGGAGGAAGGUGUUAGUGGUUAAUAACCGCAGCAAUUGACGUUACCCGCAGAAGAAGCACCGGCUAACUCCGUGCCAGCAGCCGCGGUAAUACGGAGGGUGCAAGCGUUAAUCG
Molecule: ribosomal RNA, 584 nt
Filed under: uncultured bacterium
Lineage: Bacteria
Description: bacterial SSU rRNA
Rfam family: Bacterial small subunit ribosomal RNA
Source: RNAcentral